AAGCUUUAGAGUGUCAGAGAAAUCAGAGCAGGCUCCAGCAGGAUGCUGGAUUUGAGCAAUGGGUCAGAUGUGAGCCAGUGAGAACUAGAAAGGACUUUCCACACAUGGGAAAAGCAGAAACAGAGGCAAUGAGGAAAAAUCACUAUGUUUACAGAAUAUGUGAGGAUAUCCUAGGCAGAGAAAAGUUUCCUGCUGGGAAAUAAAGGUAAUCUUAGGAAAAAGGAUCCAGCUUAUUGAGGACUUUAAAUUCCAAACCAGUAGUUGAAAUAGAUUACUAUUAAUGAUCAUGACAGAGUUUGAGAAAAACUAACCUGGCAAUAGUUCAAAGGAUGAAUUGAAGAUUAAGAGAUAAAUAAACCGGUUUGAACAUAAAUCCAGGUAAGAAGCCCCAGUUAGGAUCAAAGCUAUGCAGAUGGGGAAUAGGGACCUCUAUCGAGAUGGUUUAUAUUGGAGUGAAUGAAGCACACAAGCAAGGCUUGAACACGUGGUCAACCUAUCCUGGAAAUGAGUUUAGCUGCACUUGGUUUCUCCUUAAGAUCUUUUAAGUAAGGAGUCCCACCUCAGAUUCCGUUCACAGAGAAAAUGAUUCAAGACAGCUAGUGAGAGGAAUGGUCCUAGGAAGCCAACUGGAUGUAGGUUUGGCGUUGGAGUGCUUAUCCACUAGAUGGCAAUGAGAACCCCAUCAUCGGUAUACCAGAAAUUGCACCAACCAGAAUGCCGGAGGACCUGCAACCAGAUGGAAUGACAAUAACAUGAGAAACAACUGGCUCUGAGUGGAGGUUGCAUUUGGCUGAUUGGAGCUGCCCAAGUCAGAGAUGAAGCCUCCUUCCACAGUCUACAGAGGCAGCUGUCCAGCCAUGGACUACACUUGCCAGCCUUUCUUGCAACUCGAUAGGGCCAUGUGAAUAUUUCUCCCUGAGAACAAUUGAGAUGUAUUCUCUCAAGACCAAGAUUAAGAAUCUUUCUCCAUUUGUUUUUUCCCUAUGCUCCUCCUGCGUGUAAAGGGUGAAAACCCUGGGAAGAGGAGGCCACAGAUAAAAGGAGGCUGAGUUCCUGAGUCACCAUGUGGAAGCUGCCGCCAGUCAGGAUUGUUAAAUGACUGGGGUCACAGUCGCAACAGCUGCAUUACUCUAAUAUCCUCUCUCUGUGAAUUCUAAUGGGAUUCCUGACAUACUGGGAAGUGGGGCUGGAUGCUUCUGAAAGCUCCUUCUGAUACACAUUCUCUGGCACAUUUCUUCUGAAAUUUAUAAACUAUUGUACUUGAAAGUUAUGUUGUCAAAUAGGAUCAUUUAAUUAUCCUGUAGUAAAUAUUGCAGAGCUUAAAACCACUGCGUCAGAAGAACUGGUCUCUAGCUCUGGCUCUUCUACAAGCCUGUUAUAGAGUCUGGAAAAUAUAACUUUACUUCUCUGAGCCUCAGUUUCAUCAACUGUAAAAUACAAAUAAAAUGCAGUGUGAACGAGGAGAGACAAUAUGACCUCUAAAUUCCUUUCAAAUAAAAUCUCUUCGAGAAAUGUACAGCAACAGCUCUUUACAGGCAGAGAGAAGUGGGAGCACAGAACUUUAGUGCAUUAAUGAAUAUUGCACUAAACUUAACCUAUAAUAAACUCUUUAAUCACAGAGUAUCUUUUAUUAUUGGACUUAAAAAAUUGGAGAUGAGUCAUUAGGCUCUUCGCUUUUGACUCUAGAUAUAGUC
Molecule: long non-coding RNA, 1694 nt
Organism: Bos taurus (domestic cattle)
Lineage: Eukaryota; Metazoa; Chordata; Mammalia; Artiodactyla; Bovidae
Source: Ensembl